This 468-nucleotide ribosomal RNA is filed under the name Treponema denticola. Its description in RNAcentral is "bacterial SSU rRNA". It matches the Rfam family "Bacterial small subunit ribosomal RNA", at positions 9 to 476 of the family's 1533-position model. Lineage: Bacteria; Pseudomonadati; Spirochaetota; Spirochaetia; Treponematales; Treponemataceae. The record is from RNAcentral.
GAGUUUGAUUAUGGCUCAGAACGAACGCUGGCGGCGCGUCUUAAGCAUGCAAGUCGAACGGUAAGGGAGAGCUUGCUCUCCCCGAGAGUGGCGGACUGGUGAGUAACGCGUGGGUGACCUGCCCUGAAGAUGGGGAUAGCUAGUAGAAAUAUUAGAUAAUACCGAAUGUGCUCAUUUACAUAAAGGUAAAUGAGGAAAGGAGCUACGGCUCCGCUUCAGGAUGGGCCCGCGUCCCAUUAGCUAGUUGGUGAGGUAAAGGCCCACCAAGGCAACGAUGGGUAUCCGGCCUGAGAGGGUGAACGGACACAUUGGGACUGAGAUACGGCCCAAACUCCUACGGGAGGCAGCAGCUAAGAAUCUUCCGCAAUGGACGAAAGUCUGACGGAGCGACGCCGUGUGAAUGAAGAAGGCCGAAAGGUUGUAAAAUUCUUUUGCAGAUGAAGAAUAACCACAGGAGGGAAUGCCUGU